AAGUCGUAACAAGGUUUCCGUAGGUGAACCUGCGGAAGGAUCAUUAACACGUAUCCAACGUUAAACAACCCUGUGAACUUUCAACGCUCUUGUAGCCCCAGAGGAACAGCAAUCCCGGUAAAUCAAUGGCGGAAAAGUUUUGAUUCGGGACCUCUGUCCAAAAGGUAUCAAGUUACAAUCGAGCAGAGCAGUGGCAUGGUUUCCCUAAGCAGUGCAGAAGGAUCCACUGAGUAAGGAUAACGCAUUAGGCAAGGGGUGAAUGAAGGGGCGUAAAGCCCUGUGACAUGUCUGCCGGCCGGUGAUCGACCUCUGGCAACCAUAAUCAAGCCUCGCGGAAACGCCGGGCAUAAAAACCGAACAACUGUUAACAAUGGAUAUCUUGGUUCUC
This 388-nucleotide unclassified non-coding RNA is filed under the name fungal sp. Its description in RNAcentral is "partial internal transcribed spacer region". The stretch from base 1 to 46 matches the Rfam family "Eukaryotic small subunit ribosomal RNA", at positions 1786 to 1831 of the family's 1831-position model. Lineage: Eukaryota; Fungi. The record is from RNAcentral.